UAGCUUGCGUCUGUGGGAUCAGUGGCGAACGGGUGAGUAACACGUGAGCAACCUGCCCCUGACUCUGGGAUAAGCGCUGGAAACGGCGUCUAAUACUGGAUAUGUGACGUGACCGCAUGGUCUGCGUUUGGAAAGAUUUUUCGGUUGGGGAUGGGCUCGCGGCCUAUCAGCUUGUUGGUGAGGUAAUGGCUCACCAAGGCGUCGACGGGUAGCCGGCCUGAGAGGGUGACCGGCCACACUGGGACUGAGACACGGCCCAGACUCCUACGGGAGGCAGCAGUGGGGAAUAUUGCACAAUGGGCGGAAGCCUGAUGCAGCAACGCCGCGUGAGGGAUGACGGCCUUCGGGUUGUAAACCUCUUUUAGCAGGGAAGAAGCGAAAGUGACGGUACCUGCAGAAAAAGCGCCGGCUAACUACGUGCCAGCAGCCGCGGUAAUACGUAGGGCGCAAGCGUUAUCCGGAAUUAUUGGGCGUAAAGAGCUCGUAGGCGGUUUGUCGCGUCUGCUGUGAAAUCCCGAGGCUCAACCUCGGGCCUGCAGUGGGUACGGGCAGACUAGAGUGCGGUAGGGGAGAUUGGAAUUCCUGGUGUAGCGGUGGAAUGCGCAGAUAUCAGGAGGAACACCGAUGGCGAAGGCAGAUCUCUGGGCCGUAACUGACGCUGAGGAGCGAAAGGGUGGGGAGCAAACAGGCUUAGAUACCCUGGUAGUCCACCCCGUAAACGUUGGGAACUAGUUGUGGGGUCCAUUCCACGGAUUCCGUGACGCAGCUAACGCAUUAAGUUCCCC
This 785-nucleotide ribosomal RNA is filed under the name Microbacterium paraoxydans. RNAcentral's name for it is "bacterial SSU rRNA". It matches the Rfam family "Bacterial small subunit ribosomal RNA", at positions 71 to 870 of the family's 1533-position model. The record is from RNAcentral. Lineage: Bacteria; Bacillati; Actinomycetota; Actinomycetes; Micrococcales; Microbacteriaceae.